GAUGAAGAACGUAGCGAAAUGCGAUAAGUAAUGUGAAUUGCAGAAUUCAGUGAAUCAUCGAAUCUUUGAACGCACCUUGCGCCUUUUGGUAUUCCGAAAGGCACACCUGUUUGAGCGUCAUGAAUACCUCAAUCUCCAUCUUUUCUUCGGAUUGAUGGGUGACUUGGAUGUUGAGCCCUGCUGGUAUGCUAUAUCAGCUGGCUUUAAACUUAUUAGCCGGCUCUGUACUGGAUCGGUUUGACUCGACGUGAUAAUAUUAUCGUUGAGGAUGCAUGUCUCAUGCAGCCGGAAAGUAUCAAAGCAGCUUCUAGCUUGCCUUUAGUGCACUUUUACAUUUUAGACCUCAGAUCAGGCGGGACUACCCGCUGAACUUAAGCAUAUCAAUAAGCGGAGGA
This 395-nucleotide unclassified non-coding RNA is filed under the name soil metagenome. RNAcentral's name for it is "partial contains 5.8S ribosomal RNA, internal transcribed spacer 2, and large subunit ribosomal RNA". The stretch from base 1 to 120 matches the Rfam family "5.8S ribosomal RNA", at positions 35 to 154 of the family's 154-position model. The record is from RNAcentral.